This 954-nucleotide ribosomal RNA is filed under the name uncultured bacterium. RNAcentral describes it as "bacterial SSU rRNA". It matches the Rfam family "Bacterial small subunit ribosomal RNA", at positions 39 to 972 of the family's 1533-position model. The record is from RNAcentral.
GCGGCAGGCCUAACACAUGCAAGUCGAGCGGAAACGAGUUAUCUGAACCUUCGGGGAACGAUAACGGCGUCGAGCGGCGGACGGGUGAGUAAUGCCUAGGAAAUUGCCCUGAUGUGGGGGAUAACCAUUGGAAACGAUGGCUAAUACCGCAUAAUACCUACGGGUCAAAGAGGGGGACCUUCGGGCCUCUCGCGUCAGGAUAUGCCUAGGUGGGAUUAGCUAGUUGGUGAGGUAAUGGCUCACCAAGGCGACGAUCCCUAGCUGGUCUGAGAGGAUGAUCAGCCACACUGGAACUGAGACACGGUCCAGACUCCUACGGGAGGCAGCAGUGGGGAAUAUUGCACAAUGGGCGCAAGCCUGAUGCAGCCAUGCCGCGUGUGUGAAGAAGGCCUUCGGGUUGUAAAGCACUUUCAGUCGUGAGGAAGGUAGUGUAGUUAAUAGCUGCAUUAUUUGACGUUAGCGACAGAAGAAGCACCGGCUAACUCCGUGCCAGCAGCCGCGGUAAUACGGAGGGUGCGAGCGUUAAUCGGAAUUACUGGGCGUAAAGCGCAUGCAGGUGGUUUGUUAAGUCAGAUGUGAAAGCCCGGGGCUCAACCUCGGAAUAGCAUUUGAAACUGGCAGACUAGAGUACUGUAGAGGGGGGUAGAAUUUCAGGUGUAGCGGUGAAAUGCGUAGAGAUCUGAAGGAAUACCGGUGGCGAAGGCGGCCCCCUGGACAGAUACUGACACUCAGAUGCGAAAGCGUGGGGAGCAAACAGGAUUAGAUACCCUGGUAGUCCACGCCGUAAACGAUGUCUACUUGGAGGUUGUGGCCUUGAGCCGUGGCUUUCGGAGCUAACGCGUUAAGUAGACCGCCUGGGGAGUACGGUCGCAAGAUUAAAACUCAAAUGAAUUGACGGGGGCCCGCACAAGCGGUGGAACAUGUGGUUUAAUUCGAUGCAACGCGAAGAACCUU